UAGAAUUUCAUUGGCUAUCAAAGAGAGAGAUCAAAUAACUAGCAACAAUCAAAUAGUUAGUCUAGCACGAUCUUCCAGAAACACCUCUCUCACGACUCACAUAACUCUUCACUAUAAUGUUUAUUUUUUAUUAUUUUUAUGCCUUAUAUAGCUAGCUAUUUGCAAAUUGUUAUUAUAGACCCCUAAACAAAUGACUUAAAAUACAGAAUAAAUAUGGUAUCACAUUUAUACUUCAUGCAUAGUCGUUUUCUUGUCUUAUAAAUAAAUAGGUAGCUUCUUCAUCGAGCAUAUAUACAUUUGGCUGAGAGAGAAAAUAUAGGGAAAUGAGAUGGACAAGGAGAAUGUAAUAGGAGAUGGCUGGCAAGCGGCAAGCAGGUUAAGAAGUUUUGGGGAUGGGAUGCAAUGGGAAUUUUAGUUGAAGAUCCAAUAAGAGAGAUUGCGAAUCAGAACUCCCCAAUGAGAAGGAACUGAGCGCGUAGGUCUCACAGCUGUUGCGUCGAGGAAUCCUGAGUACUGAGUACAGGUACGUCUUCCAUUUGCGAAGGUGAGUGAGCUUCCUCUUCACGAACUCCAACGCGUCCUCCUUGUGGAGAAGGUCGGGGUUGAGCAAGACAACAUGCCCACCCUUCAGUCCCAUAUGUCAUGGCGCCCGCGAGCGAGGUGUUCUCACAACUGAGGAUGCUUGAUGGUUGACCUGGCCAAUCUCCGUGACACUUAGGCCAAUCUCGGUAAUUUUGGACGAAGUGAGGAAAAUUCACUGUCUCUGAAGUUAGCAGGUGGGUGUCACUUAGGUCCCUACACUUCUAAAAUGACACUUAUGAGUGCUGGGCUUCAUAGAGAUAACCAAGUGUAAAAAAUAUUGUUAGCUUGAACUAUUGCUUUUUUUCACUAAAAAUGAACCGCCAGCCCAGACAGCCCCUAGCUCGGCCAAAAAGCCAUGCCACAUGCAUACCCAUAGCAAUUUUGAAUUAGAAGAAAACAAAAAAAAAUGUGAAGGUCGAAAAUAAUUGGAGCAAGAUCGAAUGCCCCAAACCGCCACAAAACUAAAUAAUGACAGUCCGUCGUCUCAUAAGAACCUUCGUGAACAAACAUCAUGAAAAUUCAAUUUAUGUAGUCAACUGUUACAUUUUUUUUCUUGUUUGGCAAAGCUUUGGCUCCUCUGUUCCUAGUAUUGUGUUGCAUUGUACAAUGGCUCUAGCUUUGCUCAAUUGAAUUGGUCGAUAGACAGAGCCAUUGAAGUCAAAGGUUUUUGAACCCCACCAGCUCUGCUACGGUGUCGAAGCUCUACUGCUCUAGGCGUAGUCCAGCCAAAUAACGCCUUCAUGUGGGUUUGUUUAUUACUCUCAUGAAAAUUCUCUGCCCACAUGAAAUCUUAGUUUUAUGACAACGAGGGGUCCUGCUUGUCAUCAAAGGCAUGCAUUUUAGCCAUUAUCAUAGAAUACUGACAAGGAUCCUAGCAGUGAAGUGAUCAUAAGCUUUUCAACAACACUGAAGAAAUUUACUCAAAAACUUAAACUUGGUACUACUUCAUUAGUUAUGGUUGAUGCAGUGAAGUUAUGGCCAUCGCACACCUCUCUUGCUUGCUCUCAUCUUCACAAAUCUUUGUACCGUAUGACCAUGUGCUUUGCAUUGUUUAAUAUACUAGCAAAACAUGCCCGUGCGUUGCAACGGGGUAUAGAAUUUAUUAUUUGAUAAUUGUAUACUUUUUGUAAAAUUUAAAUGAGUUUAGUCCAACCUUGAAUCAAAAAAAUAUAACCCCACCAAAACAAACAAAACUACCAAACUAAUAUCGGAAAUCACCUUGAGAAGAAAUAGAAAAAAAAUCAUGUCCCAUAAAAAAAUGAGAAAUCUUCAUGUACAGUGGAGGAAAAAGAGUAAAAAAUGAUAUAAAAAUAUGUAUAGAAAUUAAAAGAGGAAGAAUAUUACAUAAAGAAAGCAUAAAAGCAUCACAUGAGGGAACAAUUCUAUCAAACAACACGUUAGAUCAGUCCACUUUUAUUGUGGUUCGGUGCAAUCCAAAGCAAAACCAGCGGCGCAGUUAGUGACAAAAGCCCACAGCCACAGCCGCCACAUAAUAAUACAAUUAAUAGGUAACAGUUCUCAACAUCCUUUCAUCACGGCAUCUGUUUGAGACAUACAUGAACAAAGCACAUGUAAUUCCGUAUGAUUAAGAGGAAGUACCUUGUGGUCAGCAUUGAUGCAUCACGAGAGAAGGAACAGCCAAUGAGAGGGCGAUCAUCUCCAAUCUCGCUACACUCCAGGACAAACUCCCCAGCCUGCUUCAUGACGAGUUCGGCC
This 2298-nucleotide long non-coding RNA is filed under the name Sorghum bicolor (sorghum). RNAcentral's name for it is "long non-coding RNA (SBIC_LNC016738)". Lineage: Eukaryota; Viridiplantae; Streptophyta; Magnoliopsida; Poales; Poaceae. The record is from RNAcentral.